UAGCUUAGUUGGUAAAGAAUCUGCCUGCAAUGCAGAAGACCUUGGUUCAAUUCCUGG
Molecule: transfer RNA, 57 nt
Filed under: Ovis aries (sheep)
Lineage: Eukaryota; Metazoa; Chordata; Mammalia; Artiodactyla; Bovidae
Rfam family: tRNA
About the family: Transfer RNA (tRNA) molecules are approximately 80 nucleotides in length. Their secondary structure includes four short double-helical elements and three loops (D, anti-codon, and T loops).
Source: Rfam by way of RNAcentral